Molecule: non-coding RNA, 476 nt
Organism: Biomphalaria pfeifferi
Lineage: Eukaryota; Metazoa; Mollusca; Gastropoda; Planorbidae
Source: the annotation of a GenBank genome assembly
AGAAAAAAUGUGUUUCUGUGACUCAUUGAUUUACUACUGGGAAAUUUGACUGAUUGAACCAAUUGAUGUCUACCUGCAACUGUUUCUUCUGUGUGAACCUGUCUGUUAUAAAUGGAGCAGAAGAUAUAUAGAAUAUAUAUAUAGCCAUCAUUUAGUUUACUAUCUGCAGUGUUUUCUUAAAAUUGCUCUUUUUCUUCUAUUUAUUUUUACCCUUAAAUAAAUUUCUAUCCUUUUAGUUACUCAAAGAUUGUGUUGAAAACUAUUUGAUUCACCUUUUCUGUCAAAUUGCACUUGGGGAAAAAAAAAGAAUGCAUUGAACAUAAAUGGGCUUUAAGUUUGUCAUUUAUUCAAAUCUAUAGUUCAGAUUUUUUCAGUGCUCCCUAGCUUUACUUAUUUUUAGUUUUGCCCUGUUAAUCUGCAUCUAUUUAUAGUUUAAAAUAUAUAUUUGCCAAAUUACUAUUAUACCAUAUAUAUAU